RNAcentral lists this ribosomal RNA (1198 nucleotides) under uncultured bacterium. RNAcentral describes it as "bacterial SSU rRNA". It matches the Rfam family "Bacterial small subunit ribosomal RNA", at positions 28 to 1271 of the family's 1533-position model. The record is from RNAcentral.
GAUGAACGCUGGCGGCGUGGAUAAGGCAUGCAAGUCGAACGAUCCCUCUAAUGCUUGCAUUUAAGGGAUAGUGGCAAACGAGUUAGUAACACCUUGGUACGUACCCUCCAGUCGGGCACAACGGGACGAAAGUUCCGCUAAUUCCCGAUGGUACAGCAAUGUUAAAGAAGCAAUUCGCUGGAGGAGCGGCCUAGGCCCUAUCAGCUUGUUGGUGAGGUAAUAGCUCACCAAGGCUAUGACGGGUAGGGGGCGUGAGAGCGUGACCCUCAACGACGAAACUGAGACACGGUUCGUACUUCUACGGAAGGCAGCAGUCGAGAAUAUUUGACAAUGGGCGCAAGCCUGAUCAAGCGACGCCGCGUGCAGGAAGAAGGCCUUCGGGUUGUAAACUGCUUUUGCGUGGGAAGAAUUUUGACGGUACCACGAGAAUAAGGGGUUGCUAACUCUGUGCCAGCAGCAGCGGUAAUACAGAGACCCCGAGCGUUAUCCGGAUUUACUGGGCGUAAAGCGUGAGCAGCCGGUCGUAUUAGUCUGAUGUAAAAGGGCGGGGCCCAACUUCGUCAUCGCAUCAGAAACGGUACGGCUAGAGUGGGUAAGAGGUAGGCGGAACGUGUAGUGUAGGGGUGAAAUCCACUGAUAUUACACGGAACACCAAAAGCGAAGGCAGCCUACUAGUGCCCUACUGACGGUCAGUCACGAAAGCGUGGGGAUCAAAAAGGAUUAGAUACCCUUGUAGUCCACGCCCUAAACGAUGUCUAUUAGCUAUUGGGAGCAUCGACCCUUCCAGUGGCGAAGCUAACGCGUUAAAUAGACCGCCUGGGAAGUACGAGCGCAAGCUUAAAACUCAAAGAAAUAGGCGGGAACUUGCACAAGCAGUGGAUCAUGUGGUUCAAUUCGACUCUAACCGAGAAACCUCACCAGGGCUUGAAAUCCAGCUGCACGCUUCAGAAAUGAAGAAGCCUUCGAGGGUGCUGGACAGGUGGUGCACGGCUGUCGUCAGCUCGUCACGUGAGUGGUCUCCUUAAGUGGAUUAACGAGCGCAACCCCUACGGUGUGUUAUACGUGUCACGCCGGACUGCUCCGGUAACGGAGAGGAAGGUGGGGAUGACGUCAAGUCAGCGUGCCCCUUGAUGCCCUGGGCUACACACAUGAUACAAUGGGGGGUACAGAGGGUAGCUACCUGGUAACAGGAUGCCAA